This 632-nucleotide ribosomal RNA is filed under the name Phlebotomus artemievi. RNAcentral's name for it is "partial large subunit ribosomal RNA". It matches the Rfam family "Eukaryotic large subunit ribosomal RNA", at positions 70 to 633 of the family's 3401-position model. Lineage: Eukaryota; Metazoa; Arthropoda; Insecta; Diptera; Psychodidae. The record is from RNAcentral.
UAGGAUUCCCUUAGUAGCGGCGAGCGAAAUGGGAAAAGCCCAGCACUAAGCCCAUCUAACAGCAAUGUUUUAUGGGGAUGCAGUGUAUGGAGAGUUCAUUAGCUCACUGCAAUCGGUUAGUAGAUUCAAGUCCAUCUUGAAUGGGGCCACUUAUCCCAUAGAGGGUGCCAGGCCCGUAGCAAUUACUUUCCGGCAGUUUGCGAACUCCUCCUAAGAGUCGUGUUGCUUGAUAGUGCAGCACAAAGUGGGUGGUAAACUCCAUCUAAGGCUAAAUAUAACCACGAGACCGAUAGAGAACAAGUACCGUGAGGGAAAGUUGAAAAGAACUCUGAAUAGAGAGUUAAAGAGUACGUGAAACCGUAUAGGGGUUAAGCCCGUUGAAUCUAAAUAUCCGAUAGAUGAAAUUCAGUACCGUACCUCAAAAAUACUGUAUGCACUUUUCAUCUAGUAGGACACUGCAAUCCGUUAGAUUAAAUGCAAUCAUUACGCAUUGCAUUUGAACCUAUCAAUGGAAUUCGCAUAGAUUGUUUAUCUGAUAUGGUACUCAACCUACCAUUCGAUAAGUCUAUAAUUGAAUUUCGAUAGUGUUUGACUGACGGCUUAAAACAAUCAUAAGCAUGCAUAUGCAAUUC